GAUGAAGAACGUAGCGAAAUGCGAUACGUAAUGUGAAUUGCAGAAUUCAGUGAAUCAUCGAGUCUUUGAACGCACAUUGCGCCCUCUGGUAUUCCGGAGGGCAUGCCUGUCCGAGCGUCAUUGCUGCCCUCAAGCACGGCUUGUGUGUUGGGCCCCGCCCCCCGAUCCCGGGGGGCGGGCCCGAAAGGCAGCGGCGGCACCGCGUCCGGUCCUCGAGCGUAUGGGGCUUUGUCACCCGCUCUGUAGGCCCGGCCGGCGCUUGCCGAUCAACCAAACUUUUUUCCAGGUUGACCUCGGAUCAGGUAGGGAUACCCGCUGAACUUAAGCAUAUCAAUAAGCGUAGGA
RNAcentral lists this unclassified non-coding RNA (345 nucleotides) under soil metagenome. RNAcentral's name for it is "partial contains 5.8S ribosomal RNA, internal transcribed spacer 2, and large subunit ribosomal RNA". The stretch from base 1 to 120 matches the Rfam family "5.8S ribosomal RNA", at positions 35 to 154 of the family's 154-position model. The record is from RNAcentral.